RNAcentral lists this ribosomal RNA (454 nucleotides) under uncultured bacterium. Its description in RNAcentral is "partial 16S ribosomal RNA". It matches the Rfam family "Bacterial small subunit ribosomal RNA", at positions 28 to 507 of the family's 1533-position model. The record is from RNAcentral.
GAUGAACGCUGACAGAAUGCUUAACACAUGCAAGUCAACUUGAACUUCGGUUUGGGUGGCGGACGGGUGAGUAACGCGUAAAGAACUUGCCUCACAGAUAGGGACAACAUUUGGAAACGAAUGCUAAUACCUGAUAUUAUGAUUUUAGGGCAUCCUAGGAUUAUGAAAGCUAUAUGCGCUGUGAGAGAGCUUUGCGUCCCAUUAGCUAGUUGGAGAGGUAACGGCUCACCAAGGCGAUGAUGGGUAGCCGGCCUGGGAGGGUGAUCGGCCACAAGGGGACUGGGGCACCGCCCGUACUCCUUCGGGAGGCAGCAGUGGUGAAUAUUGGACAAUGGACCAAGAGUCUGAUCCAGCUAUUCGGUGUGCACGAUGAAGUUUUUCGGAAUGUAAAGUGGUUUCAGUUGGGAAGAAAAAAAUGACGGUACCAACAGAAGAAGUGACGGCUAAAUACGUG